This 468-nucleotide ribosomal RNA is filed under the name uncultured bacterium. RNAcentral's name for it is "partial 16S ribosomal RNA". It matches the Rfam family "Bacterial small subunit ribosomal RNA", at positions 28 to 507 of the family's 1533-position model. The record is from RNAcentral.
GACGAACGCUGGCGGCGUGCUUAACACAUGCAAGUCGAACGGAAAGGCCCUGCUUUUGUGGGGUGCUCGAGUGGCGAACGGGUGAGUAACACGUGAGUAACCUGCCCUUGACUUUGGGAUAACUUCAGGAAACUGGGGCUAAUACCGGAUAGGAGCUCCUGCUGCAUGGUGGGGGUUGGAAAGUUUCGGCGGUUGGGGAUGGACUCGCGGCUUAUCAGCUUGUUGGUGGGGUAGUGGCUUACCAAGGCUUUGACGGGUAGCCGGCCUGAGAGGGUGACCGGCCACCUUGGGACUGCGAUACGGCCCAGACUCCUACGGGAGGCAGCAGUGGGGAGUAUUGCACAAUGGGCGGAAGCCUGAUGCAGCAACGCCGCGUGCGGGAUGACGGCCUUCGGGUUGUAAACCGCUUUCGCCUGUGACGAAGCGUGAGUGACGGUAAUGGGUAAAGAAGCACCGGCUAACUACGUG